Molecule: ribosomal RNA, 1440 nt
Filed under: Escherichia coli
Lineage: Bacteria; Pseudomonadati; Pseudomonadota; Gammaproteobacteria; Enterobacterales; Enterobacteriaceae
Description: 16S ribosomal RNA
Rfam family: Bacterial small subunit ribosomal RNA
Source: RNAcentral
ACACAUGCAAGUCGAACGGUAACAGGAAACAGCUUGCUUCUUUGCUGACGAGUGGCGGACGGGUGAGUAAUGUCUGGGAAACUGCCUGAUGGAGGGGGAUAACUACUGGAAACGGUAGCUAAUACCGCAUAACGUCGCAAGACCAAAGAGGGGGACCUUCGGGCCUCUUGCCAUCGGAUGUGCCCAGAUGGGAUUAGCUAGUAGGUGGGGUAACGGCUCCAUCCCUAGGCGAGCCGAAUCCUUAGCCUGGUCUGAGAGGAAUGACCAGCCACACUGGGACUGAGAACACGGUCCAGACUCCUACGGGAGGCAGCAGUGGGGAAUAUUGCACAAUGGGCGCAAGCCUGAUGCAGCCAUGCCGCGUGUAUGAAGAAGGCCUUCGGGUUGUAAAGUACUUUCAGCGGGGAGGAAGGGAGUAAAGUUAAUACCCUUUGCUCAUUGACGUUACCCGCAGAAGAAGCACCGGCUAACUCCGUGCCAGCAGCCGCGGUAAUACGGAGGGUGCAAGCGUUAAUCGGAAUUACUGGGCGUAAAGCGCACGCAGGCGGUUUGUUAAGUCAGAUGUGAAAUCCCCGGGCUCAACCUGGGAACUGCAUCUGAUACUGGCAAGCUUGAGUCUCGUAGAGGGGGGUAGAAUUCCAGGUGUAGCGGUGAAAUGCGUAGAGAUCUGGAGGAAUACCGGUGGCGAAGGCGGCCCCCUGGACGAAGACUGACGCUCAGGUGCGAAAGCGUGGGGAGCAAACAGGAUUAGAUACCCUGGUAGUCCACGCCGUAAACGAUGUCGACUUGGAGGUUGUGCCCUUGAGGCGUGGCUUCCGGAGCUAACGCGUUAAGUCGACCGCCUGGGGAGUACGGCCGCAAGGUUAAAACUCAAAUGAAUUGACGGGGGCCCGCACAAGCGGUGGAGCAUGUGGUUUAAUUCGAUGCAACGCGAAGAACCUUACCUGGUCUUGACAUCCACGGGAAGUUUUCAGAGAUGAGAAUGUGCCUUCGGGAACCGUGAGACAGGUGCUGCAUGGCUGUCGUCAGCUCGUGUUGUGAAAUGUUGGGUUAAGUCCCGCAACGAGCGCAACCCUUAUCCUUUGUUGCCAGCGGUCCGGCCGGGAACUCAAAGGAGACUGCCAGUGAUAAACUGGAGGAAGGUGGGGAUGACGUCCAGGUCAUCAUGGCCCUUACGAACCAGGGCUACACACGUGCCUACAAUGGACGCAUCCAAAGAGAGAGCGAACCCUGCCCGCGAGAGCAAGCGGACCUCAUAAAGUGCGUCGUAGUCCGGAUUGGAGUCUGCAACUCGACUCCAUGAAGUCGGAAUCGCUAGUAAUCGUGGAUCAGAAUGCCACGGUGAAUACGUUCCCGGGCCUUGUACACACCGCCCGUCACACCAUGGGAGUGGGUUGCAAAAGAAGUAGGUAGCUUAACCUUCGGGAGGGCGCUUACCAC